GGUAUCAUACAUCAUUGUUGUAAUCUCUGAAGGCCAACUUCUUAUGUAUAACAUUACAAUAACAAGGAAUGGAAAGAAAAGAGGGAAGUGUGUAAUAACUGAAUUACAUAUACAGCCAUUUUCUUUAAACCCGGAAAUGAAGUUAUAUCAUUUGGACCUAAUCGGCGCUGGGCAAGGCAUGCAGAUGUUUCUGAUGAGCCCGAGCAGUGAAACCAGCAUACCAAGCGACUCUCAUGAGCUGCAUGCCAAGAAUGAGAACCCACCAACAGACUAGCCCCCUAAUGGUAUGCAGCAUCCAUGAUGGUGCAUUGAGUUCUGCACUGAGCU
This 327-nucleotide unclassified non-coding RNA is filed under the name Hevea brasiliensis (rubber tree). Lineage: Eukaryota; Viridiplantae; Streptophyta; Magnoliopsida; Malpighiales; Euphorbiaceae. The record is from RNAcentral.